Molecule: ribosomal RNA, 253 nt
Filed under: uncultured bacterium
Lineage: Bacteria
Description: partial 16S ribosomal RNA
Rfam family: Bacterial small subunit ribosomal RNA
Source: RNAcentral
UACGUAGGGGGCAAGCGUUGUCCGGAUUUACUGGGCGUAAAGAGCGCGCAGGCGGUCGUUCAAGUCGAGUGUGAAAGCCCCCGGCUCAACUGGGGAGGGUCAUUCGAUACUGAUCGACUCGAAGGCAGGAGAGGGAAGUGGAAUUCCCGGUGUAGUGGUGAAAUGCGUAGAUAUCGGGAGGAACACCAGUGGCGAAGGCGACUUCCUGGCCUGUUCUUGACGCUGAGGCGCGAAAGCUAGGGGAGCAAACGGG